Molecule: long non-coding RNA, 1552 nt
Filed under: Homo sapiens (human)
Lineage: Eukaryota; Metazoa; Chordata; Mammalia; Primates; Hominidae
Description: non-protein coding lnc-ERCC6L2-14:1
Source: RNAcentral
CCUCUCCCAACACGGCGGCCUCAGCAAAAAAGAAGAAGAAGAAGGGGAAGACUAUCUCCCUAACAGACUUUCUGGCUGAGGAUGGGGGUACUGGUGGAGGAAGGACCUAUGUUUCCAAACCAGUCAGCUGAGCUGAUGAAACGGAUGACCUGGAAGGAGAUGUUUCGACAACUUGGCACAGUAACGAUGACGAUGUGUAUAGGGCGUCUCCAAUUGACCGUUCCAUCCUUCCCACUGCUCCACGGGCUGCUCGGGAACCCAAUAUCGACCGGAGCCAUCUUCCCAAAUCGCCACCCUACACUGCUUUUCUAGGAAACCUACCCUAUGAUGUUACAGAAGAGUCAAUUAAGGAAUUCUUUCGAGGAUUAAAUAUCAGUGCAGUGCGUUUACCAUGUGAACCCAGCAAUCCAGUGAGGUUGAAAGGUUUUGGUUAUGCUGAAUUUGAGGACCUGGAUUCCCUGCUUAGUGCCCUGAGUCUCAAGGAAGAGUCUCUAGGUAACAGGAGAAUUCGAGUGGACGUUGCUGAUCAAGCACAGGAUAAAGACAGGGAUGAUUGUUCUUUUGGCCGUGAUAGAAAUCGGGAUUCUGACAAAACAGGUACAGACUGGAGGGCUCGUCCUGCUACAGACAGCUUUGAUGACUACCCACCUAGAAGAGGUGAUGAUAGCUUUGGAGACAAGUAUCGAGAUCGUUAUGAUUCAGACCGGUAUCGGGAUGGGUAUCGGGAUGGGUAUCGGGAUGGCCAACGCCGGGAUAUGGAUCCAUAUGGUGGCCGGGAUCGCUAUGAUGACCGAGGCAGCAGAGACUAUGAUAGAGGCUAUGAUUCCCGGAUAGGCAGUGGCAGAAGAGCAUUUGGCAGUGGGUAUCGCAGGGAUGAUGUCUCAGAGGAGGCGGGGACCACUAUGAAGACCGAUAUGACAGACGGGAUGAUCGGUCUUGGAGCUCCAGAGAUGAUUACUCUCUGGAUGAUUAUAGGCGUGAUGGUAGAGGUCCCCCCCAAAGACCCAAACUGAAUCUAAACCCUCGGAGUACUCCUAAGGAAGAUGAUUCCUCUGCUAGUACCUCCCAGUCCACUCGAGCUGCUUCUAUCUUUGGAGGGGCAAAGCCCGUUGACACAGCUGCUAGAGAAAGAGAAGUAGAAGAACGGCUACAGAAGGAACAAGAGAAGUUGCAGCAUCAGCUGGAUGAGCCAAAACUAGAACGACGGCCUCCGGAGAGACACCCAAGCUGGCGAAGUGAAGAAACUCAGGAACGGGAACGGUCGAGGACAGGAAGUGAGUCAUCACAGACUGGGACCUCCACCACAUCUGGCAGAAGUAAGUCAGCCCAGGAUGCACGAAGGAGAGAGAAUGAGAAGUCUCUAGAAAAUGAAACACUCAAUAAGGAGGAAGAUUGCCACUCUCCAACUUCUAAACCUCCCAAACCUGAUCAGCCCCUAAAGGUAAUGCCAGCCCCUCCACCAAAGGAGAAUGCUUGGGUGAAGCGAAGUUCUAACCCUCCUGCUCGAUCUCAGAGCUCAGACACAGAGCAGCAAUCCCCUACAAGUGGUGAG